GCGGGAGUUGUCUAGUGGUUAUGAUAUCUGCUUUACAUAAUCGAAUGUAAGACGCAGAAGGUCCCCGGUUCGACCCCCGGCUUCCGUA
Didymosphaeria variabile is the source of this 88-nucleotide non-coding RNA. NCBI's taxonomy places the organism in Eukaryota, Fungi, Ascomycota, Dothideomycetes, Pleosporales, Didymosphaeriaceae. The record is from the annotation of a RefSeq genome assembly.